RNAcentral lists this non-coding RNA (926 nucleotides) under Pristimantis orestes (Urdaneta robber frog). RNAcentral describes it as "12S ribosomal RNA". It matches the Rfam family "Bacterial small subunit ribosomal RNA". The record is from RNAcentral. Lineage: Eukaryota; Metazoa; Chordata; Amphibia; Anura; Strabomantidae.
CACACAGGUUUGGUCCCAGCCCUUGAAAUCAAUUCUUACUUAACUUACACAUGCAAGUCUCCGCACACCCGUGAAAACGCCCUUCCUACCCCUACAGGAAUAAGGAGCUGAUAUCAGGCACACCACCCAAAACAUCUAGCCACGCCACACCCUCAAGGGCCAUCAGCAGUGAUUAACAUUAAAAAUAAACGUCAGUUUGACUUAGUUAAAUGAAAACAGAGCCGGCCAAUCUGGUGCCAGCCGCCGCGGUUACACCAUGUGGCUCAAAUUGAUCCCAAUACGGCGUAAAGCGUGAUUAAAGAAAUAUACCCCUGGGGUUAAACUAAAACUAAGCUGUAGUACGCCUGUUUUUAAGAAACCCUAUUUCGAAAGAUACCCCAACCCACCAACUUGAACUCACAACAACUGGGGCACAAACUGGGAUUAGAUACCCCACUAUGCCUAGUCAUAAACUUUAACUUACACCUCAAUCGCCAGGAAACUACGAGCAAAGCUUAAAACCCAAAGGACUUGACGGUGCCCCAUAUCCCCCUAGAGGAGCCUGUCCUAUAACCGAUACCCCCCGUUUAACCUCACCAUUUUUAGUCUAUCAGCCUGUAUACUUCCGUCGCCAGCUUACCGCGUGAGCGAAUUCAGUAAGCUCAAUGUAAACCACCAGAACGUCAGGUCAAAGUGCAGCAUAUAAAAUGGCAAGAGAUGGGCUACACUUUCUACUUUAGAAGAUACGAAAGACUAUGUGAAACCAUACUCAGAAGGCGGAUUUAGCAGUAAGGGGGGAUAGAAUACCCCCCCUUAACCCGGCACUGGGGUGUGUACACACCGCCCGUCACCCUCUUCAACUAACCCCCCCCAGUAUUUAACAAAAUUCACCACAUAGAAGAGGUAAGUCGUAACAUGGUAAGUAUACCGGAAGGUGUGCUUGGAAA